Molecule: long non-coding RNA, 308 nt
Organism: Sinocyclocheilus grahami
Lineage: Eukaryota; Metazoa; Chordata; Actinopteri; Cypriniformes; Cyprinidae
Exons: 3
Source: RefSeq, a predicted model, not a curated record
CUAUAUUAUUACAGGCAUUCCACACAGUUUUUAACUUUUGUGCUGUCACAGAUCACAGUUUUCCGCACUGCCUCAGAGGGUCAGCAGGAUAUUGAGAUGGCCAUCUUAACCGCUCUGCUGAAAGGCACAAAUGCUUCAGCUCCAGACCAGCUGAGUCUGGCUUUGGCCUGGAACCGUGUGGAUAUUGCUCACAGUCAGAUCUUCGUCCAUGGACAACACUGGCCUUCUGCUGGGUCCCUGCCCACCUCAUUUACAAGCCAGCAGGAUAAACCAAAGAGCCCCAUCAGCACCCGUGCCAGCAAGGGUAA